GUACCCUUAGCUCAGUUGGUUAGAGCAGACAGCUCAUAACCGUCCGGUCGUAGGUUCGAGUCCUACAGGGUACA
Molecule: transfer RNA, 74 nt
Filed under: Enterococcus faecium
Lineage: Bacteria; Bacillati; Bacillota; Bacilli; Lactobacillales; Enterococcaceae
Also listed under: 1 other name
Description: tRNA-Ile
Rfam family: tRNA
About the family: Transfer RNA (tRNA) molecules are approximately 80 nucleotides in length. Their secondary structure includes four short double-helical elements and three loops (D, anti-codon, and T loops).
Source: RNAcentral